Bombina bombina (fire-bellied toad) is the source of this 1616-nucleotide long non-coding RNA. RefSeq lists it as uncharacterized. The transcript is spliced from 2 exons. The record is from RefSeq and is a predicted model, not a curated record. NCBI's taxonomy places the organism in Eukaryota, Metazoa, Chordata, Amphibia, Anura, Bombinatoridae.
UUCGCACUUUACUAACUGUCACUCUCUCUUUUUCAGUCCCGUAACAGCCUGCAGCAGGGAGAUGUGGAUGGAGCUCUCAGACUGGGCCGUGUGGCUAAACUUCUGAGCAUAGUGGCAUUAGUGGGCGGAGCUUUGAUCAUCAUUGUGUGCUGUGUCGUUAAUUACGGGAUUUUGUGAGGUGAAAACUGUCACUCGCUCCCUGCACACAACGUGAGGAAGAAGGGACAUGCCGAGAAUUCAUCCAGAAUCCUUCACAUUCCAACAGAAAUGCCAGCUCUGAGAAAAUGUCCGCGAGAGAGUGCGUGUGUCUAGCGAGAGAGUGCGUGUGUCUAGCGAGAGAGUGCGUGUCUAGCGAGAGAACCAUAUUGUACCGUGUGACGGAUGCAAUGAAGUGUGAGUGCGAGAGACAGUGUGUCAGUGCCUUUUCCACGGAUGUUGUGUGUGUCUGCGAGUCUCCUCACCUCCUUUAUAUAUAAAUACAGUGUGUGUCCAUCACAUCAGUACAUCCUGAUACUGUGAGACCGAAUCUUCUCUCUGCCAGGGGGGAGGGGAGGAAAAACAAUUUGUGGCAGGCCUGUGGCAGAGAAAGGGUUACGGUCUGAGGUUCAUUUUCAUGAAAUAAUGACAGGAAUAGAAGCACAUGUAUGUAAUAAUUGUCACACAAAACCACAGGCAAUAUCAUGUGGGUAAUGGCACACAUACAUGUACACAAGUGCACAAUUACAUAUAUACACACAAAACAUGAGUACGCACACAAAAUAGCACAUGCACCAAUGCAAGUGCACUCAUAAACACACACAAAUAUAGACAAACAAACAGCAGAGGACUGGCAAUUUACAACUACAUUAACUAAUAACUAUAAUUCAUUUUUUAUGGGGAUAUAUGACAAGUCCAGUCCAAUUACCCCACAUAACCGAUACAUAGACACAAAUAUACACUAACACAAAUAACACACAUACACAUAGACAAAAAUAUACACUAAUACAAAUAACACACACACAUAGACAAAAAUAUACACUAAUACAAAUAACACACAUACAUAGACACAAAUAUACACAAACACAAAUAACAUACACACAGACACAAAUAUACACUAACACAAAUAACACACACACAUAGACACAAAUAUACACAAACACAAAUAACACACACACACAGACACAAAUAUACACAAACACAAAUAACACACACACACAGACACAAAUAUACACUAACACAAAUAACACACACACAAAUAUACACUAACACAAAUAACACACACACAAAUAUACACAAACACAAAUAACACACACACACAGACACAAAUAUACACUAACACAAAUAACACACACACAAAUAUACACAAACACAAAUAACACACACACACAGACACAAAUAUACACAAACACAAAUAACACACACACACAGACACAAAUAUACACUAACACAAAUAACACACACACAAAUAUACACUAACACAAAUAACACACACACAAAUAUACACUAACACAAAUAACACACACAGACACAAAUAUACACUAACACAAAUAAUACACACAGACACAAAUAUACACUAACACAAAUAACACACACAGACACAAAUAUACACUAACACAAAUAACACACACAGACACAAA